AGUUGUUGCGGUUAAAAAGCUCGUAGUCGAAUCUGUGUCCCGCGCCGCCGGUUCAUCGUCCGCGGUGUUAACUGGCGUGCCGCGGGACGUCCUGCCGGUGGGCUUAGCUCGCAAGGGCGGCCCAACUCAAUCCCGCCGCGGUGCUCUUCACUGAGUGUCGAGGUGGGCCGGCACGUUUACUUUGAACAAAUUAGAGUGCUUAAAGCAGGCUAAAACUUCGCCUGAAUACUGUGUGCAUGGAAUAAUGGAAUAGGACCUCGGUUCUAUUUUGUUGGUUUUCGGAACCCCGAGGUAAUGAUUAAUAGGAACGGAUGGGGGCAUUCGUAUUGCGACGUUAGAGGA
This 342-nucleotide ribosomal RNA is filed under the name Desmocerus californicus dimorphus. RNAcentral describes it as "SSU rRNA". It matches the Rfam family "Eukaryotic small subunit ribosomal RNA", at positions 608 to 912 of the family's 1831-position model. Lineage: Eukaryota; Metazoa; Arthropoda; Insecta; Coleoptera; Cerambycidae. The record is from RNAcentral.